GAUGAAGAACGUAGCGAAAUGCGAUAAGUAAUGUGAAUUGCAGAAUUCGGUGAAUCAUCGAAUCUUUGAACGCACCUUGCGCCCUUUGGCUAUUCCGAAGGGCAUGCCUGUUUGAGUAUCAUGAACACCUCAACUCUCAUGGUUUGCCAUGAUGAGCUUGGACUUUGGGGGUCUUGCCGGCCUAUGGGUCGGCUCCUCUCAAAUUAAUCAGCUUGCCAGUGUUUGGUGGCAUCACAGGUGUGAUAACUAUCUACGCUUGUGGUUUUCCAUCAGGUAACCUUCAGUGAUGGAGGUUCGCUGGGGCUCAUAAAUGUCUCUCCUCAGUGAGGACAGCUUUUUUGAACGUUUGAUCUCAAAUCAGGUAGAACUACCCGCUGAACUUAAGCAUAUCAAUAAGCGGAGGA
This 404-nucleotide unclassified non-coding RNA is filed under the name soil metagenome. RNAcentral describes it as "partial contains 5.8S ribosomal RNA, internal transcribed spacer 2, and large subunit ribosomal RNA". The stretch from base 1 to 121 matches the Rfam family "5.8S ribosomal RNA", at positions 35 to 154 of the family's 154-position model. The record is from RNAcentral.